AAGGGAGUGGCGGAAUUGGUAGACGCUAUAAGUCGGAUGGGAUAGAGUUUUAUUAGCUCAAGGUUUAGUGUUCUUAACAAAAAAACACUGGGAAAAACUCAUACAGGUUCGAAUCCUGUCUCCCUUA
This 127-nucleotide transfer RNA is filed under the name Elizabethkingia miricola. Its description in RNAcentral is "tRNA-OTHER". The record is from RNAcentral. Lineage: Bacteria; Pseudomonadati; Bacteroidota; Flavobacteriia; Flavobacteriales; Weeksellaceae. RNAcentral also lists the same sequence under 1 other name.